Long non-coding RNA from Pseudoliparis swirei, 806 nucleotides. RefSeq lists it as uncharacterized. The transcript is spliced from 2 exons. The record is from RefSeq and is a predicted model, not a curated record. Lineage: Eukaryota; Metazoa; Chordata; Actinopteri; Perciformes; Liparidae.
GACCUGUGCUCCUCCGUCGGUGCUCUGGCUGCCAGGAGCAUCGAAUUUAAAGAAGUGGCCAUGCUGCCGGCAUCAGACCCCACUGUGGCCACAGGGAGAGCCACGGAGUUCAAACAACAGCUCCAGCACCUCGCCAACCAGGUGAGGUCAAAUGAUCAAUUUGACCUCCUCACGCACACCUUGGGGCCAGGAAUGGUAGAGGUGGUGGUGGAUAUUUUAAAAGUGUGUUGACACACACAUUGAAAAUAUUAACAAUUAGCAAUUUGUUGUUUGUUGUGUUCAUUAAUUAAAUAUCUUCAUGUUCUACAUCACUGUGUAUGUGUCGUGAAUUGGAAGUGUAUUGAACUUGGCAUCUUGAUUUAACUAGUCUGAUAAUUUAGCUAGCUGGGCCUGAAAUCGCAUGGUGUAAAUUACAGAUCCGACAUGUUAGACAUGUGGAUUAAGGCAAAUAGUCAUGGUAACACUAUGUCAACACUAAUUUCUACAGCUUCACAUAAGGGUUUAUUCCAGUAGAGUGUUACAAGUUAAUGAAACCCCAACUUACAUUAAUUUUUUUUUAUUAAAUGUAUCGUCAGAGGACACACACAUGAUGGAGGAGAGACAUGACUGAUGGGGUGUGACAUAUUCUUUAUUGAAAAUAAAGGCCAAAUACAACCCUCAUACACACAGUAAAAUGGUAAAAACAAAAUUUCACACGCAAACAGCUUAGUUUACUAAGCACGAAGGAUGGCAGAAUUUAAUACACUAUAAAUAUUAUCUAAAUAUUUUAUUGGGGCAGUGUGGGACAGGUCGGAAAACUGGGGAAA